This 566-nucleotide ribosomal RNA is filed under the name Schmidingerella arcuata. Its description in RNAcentral is "partial 28S ribosomal RNA". It matches the Rfam family "Eukaryotic large subunit ribosomal RNA", at positions 1 to 544 of the family's 3401-position model. Lineage: Eukaryota; Ciliophora; Spirotrichea; Tintinnida; Rhabdonellidae. The record is from RNAcentral.
UCAGCAUCUGAAAUGAAGUAGGACCACCCGCUGAACUUAAGCAUAUCAUUAAGCGGAGGAAAAGAAACUAACAAGGAUUCCCCUAGUACGGGCGACGGAAGCGGGAAAAGCCCACGCUGGUAAUCUGCGGGCGUUAGCUCGUCGAAUUGUAAUCUGAAGAUGGUUGGUCUAACGGAGUCGGGCGACGAAGUGUGCACGAGCGCGCCGCCAAAGAGGGUGAGAGCCCCGUAAGUUGCCAGACUCUACAAAGGCCGGUCGUCGAAGAGUCGUGUACUUUGAUACUAGUGCACCAAGCGGGAGAUAAACUUCUUCUAAGGCUAAAUAUAAGUAGGAAACCGAUAGCGAACAAGUACUGUGAAGGAAAGAUGAAAAGCACUUUGGAAAGAAAGUUAAAAGACUUGAAAUCGUUGAGGCGGACCCGGUAGAAAUGUAUUCUAGCGAAACUCCCUGGGAAGCCUGUACGCGGGUGUCUUGGGAGUUAGCCGAGGCAAGAUGGAGUCGCGCGAUGCUAGAGGCCGUGCAGGAGGUUCUUCGGAAAAGCCUGUGCAGGUUGAGUGUCGGGCGGC